Molecule: long non-coding RNA, 1666 nt
Filed under: Parus major (Great Tit)
Lineage: Eukaryota; Metazoa; Chordata; Aves; Passeriformes; Paridae
Description: lncRNA (ENSPMJG00000017847.1)
Source: RNAcentral
GAAUACAUCUCUAUACUUGUUUACAGUAAUUUUUUUUCAGUUGAAAACAUUUGGUACUACUAAACAAUAAAUAAAACAUGUUCAGAAGGUAGUAUAGUUGCCUUAAAUUAUACUUAAAAUACUCUUACAAUAUUUUUUAUAGAAUUCAUUAUGUGCUGUCCAGCUGAGUCCCAUUAAGUCUGCAUUUGUUCCAGUACAAAGAAUGAAAAACAUCUCUAAAUCUGAGGAAGGUACAGUAAGACAACUCACUUUAGUUCUUGGUUAUACAUAAAGUAGAAUGACAGAUAUACCCACUGUGUAACAUGACUUGUGUCUUUUGGCAUCAGUGAUUCUAAGUAAGAAAGGGUAAUUCUCUACAGCAAAUUUUUUUCCUGUAAAUGUAAGACAUAGAAUCAUUGAGCAUGAUAUUAAUGGUUUUAUAAAUGCUUACAACAUAUAUUCAGUUUUUAUUCCAUUCCUCCUUGUUUUUAAAUGCGUUUGUCACAUAUAACUGUAUGAUGUGGACAGGUAUUGCUUGCUAUGAUUACGUAUUUCCAAACUCAUUAGGACUUUCUCUGGUGCCAUUUGUAAGAUGCAUUAGUGUUCUUAAUUAUUUCAUAUUCUAACAUAUAAUGUUUCUUGAUUUUGCUACCUUUCUCUUCUUUUAACAUCAAUUUUGUGUGUUUCACAGACCAGUCAUGAAAACGAGUAGUUUAUUUAAAUGAUUAUUCAAAUGAGGCCUUCUCAUUUGAAGUUCCCCCUGUAAUCUCUUCAGUUUCAGAAAGCAUUGCUCAGUUUCUAGUGGCAGAAAAACUAGCGAGUACACCAAUUGCAGAGGAUGAAAUUCUGGCAGCCAUGGACCGUGUGCAGCCAGCCAGCAAGUCCUCACUGCUUAAAAGGGGUCCGUGUCCAGGCAGGAGUGCUCUUUCUGCAGAAGAACACAAGAUUUUCCAGUCCCUGGAUUGUCUGAAUCAAAAGCUACAGAAUGUUCAAGAAGCCAUUACCAGAAAUCCAUUUGCUUUACAUAUUUUGCAGAUAAGCAACCCAUAAGUAUUCAGCAAUGCAUGUCCUCUUGGGUCAGCCCUGCAAUAGCCUCACAGCAAUACCAGAGUACCUCCAGCUGGUAACCCACUGCAAUUGUGCAGGAGACACUGACAUUAUCUGCUACAGGAUCUUGUGACUUUAUGUACUUCAUAUGCAGUGUGUAUAUUGUUUGAUGCCACAAAAUUAGCAACAAAAUCAAGAAGAAAGCAGAAACUCAAAUAAUGAAUGUCAAUUGACUGGUAAGCAUUUUUAGGAUAACUAUUUUAUUCUGCACUUUAUUGUAAAAUUUUUAAAAACCCAUCUGAAUUGUUAUGCCAGUUCUGGAUUAAAGGCCUUUUGUUAACCAGCAUGAUACCUUAAUCUGUGAAGUUAGUUAAUUGCUAAGAAAUUGUGACUUUUUAACUUCUUUUUCACUUCCUCUGCUGUUUCAACAAAAAGUAGAUAAGUAUUCAUAGAAUCAUAAAAUCACACAAUCAUUUCAGUUGGAAGAUCAAGUCCAACCUGACAUGACCACAUUUAUCAUUAAACCAGUACCCAGGUGCCACAUCCACAUCUCUGUAUUUUUAAAAACAAGCAGAAUCAAUCAACAAAUUUAGGCUGUAAUUAGCUGCAAGAAACAAUAAAAACAAUUUAUAAAAUCUCA